CGGGAUUGCACCACACCAUUCAUCCCUCUUUUUGCUUGCCUGUAAUUGAUAAGAGAUUGAUGGACUUUCCAUAUUGUUGAAAUCAGUUUCCUUCCGAUCUUAAUUGCAAUCACAAUAAUCCCACUCCUUAUAACGGGCCAUUCAGAAAACCCUAAAUCUCAAACACAAAGAUUAUCAUCCAGACCCCAAGAUUUCUUCAUCUUCAAUCGCGAUUGAAAGCAACCAGUCUUUAUGGAGAAAUUGAUUGAAAGCCAAAUUAAAUGCUGAGGACGAGUUGCAGUGAUCAGGUAAGUCGUGUAUAUCUAUUUUCGAAUCUUAAUUCCUCUCUUUCUUGUAACCACACAUCACCGUUGUGCUCUCUGCUCGAUUUCAAAUAACGGAGCUCUUAAACCGUUUGAUAUCAGUGCUUUCAAAACUAGAAGAUUAUAUGGUUUUGCUAUUCUUAGAUGAACACAAGCAGAUCAAUUUGACUGUCAUUUGCUCUGCUGCAUCCUUUGUUUUUUACUGAGAUGUUACAGGGAUCUUCAUAUUUGAUAUUGUCGAUCUUCGUAUAAUGGCCACCGCCAUGAGACAACUGAGGAAUGAUACGCUGCCAUUCAUUCUGACAUCCAUCUUGAUAUGGUUCUUCACAUAAUGGAAGGUAUUUUUUUAUUGUUUACAGUUUGUAAUAACUAUAUUGAAUUAUUGAUGGAGUCAUGGAGACAUGGACAAUAUUAUCAUCCAUUGAUUUGUAAUGCUUAUAAUGUAAUAAUACUUAUAAGUAUUAAUGUAGAUUCACUCUAUUUUUAA
Molecule: long non-coding RNA, 789 nt
Organism: Helianthus annuus (common sunflower)
Lineage: Eukaryota; Viridiplantae; Streptophyta; Magnoliopsida; Asterales; Asteraceae
Exons: 2
Source: RefSeq, a predicted model, not a curated record